AGUCGCCAGGCACCGGCCACGGCGCACGCCAACAUCCAGGAUAAUUCUCCUUUCCAAGCCCGGGAGUUCCGGGGCAGGCGAAAAAGGGGGGAUGGGAGACCCACAGUCCCUUUAACCCUCCCCCCUGGCCUGCCAACCUUUUCCGAACCCCCAUGUCACACAACUUCCUCAUCAUGGAAACUUCCACUGGGUUCGGCGCUGAGGAUGCCAAACUCCAUUUCACAAGGAACAUGUCAACAGCUGGGCUUGGGGUUUGAGGAACAGAGCCGCUGCGAUUGGAACAGAGCCCGGCCACCCUGUUCCACCACUGUCCACUCCGUAGCUCCCAGCCUGCCGCCGCGCGGUGCCCGAACACGAGAGGGCACCUCCUCCCAGAUCCGGGGCGCAGAAGCCCCGCGGAGGCAGGUAGAAGAUUCUGAGGCCCUGGGCGGGAACUAGUAAGCCACAAUCUGGAAGAGUCUUUUACCACCAUGUGGAGGAGAACUAGAGCACUCAUGUUGAACUAUUACCGAGAAAAGUAAUCAACUUCUUUUGUGUUAAGUCACUGAAAGGCAAGUGUUGAUUUGUUGCAGUAAUUGGUGCUCCCUUAACACACCUGUCAGCCGGGCCAAACUCUAUCACAGCAUAAAUAAUCUUUUCCUUAAAUAAAUACAGGUAAAA
Molecule: long non-coding RNA, 660 nt
Filed under: Homo sapiens (human)
Lineage: Eukaryota; Metazoa; Chordata; Mammalia; Primates; Hominidae
Description: HSALNT0310769
Source: RNAcentral